AGUGGUACUGCUAGAUCAUAUGGUACUUCUAUUUCUAGUUUUUUGAGGAACUUCCAUACUGUUUUCCAUAAUUGCUAUACUAAUUUACAUUCCCACCAGCAGU
RNAcentral lists this microRNA precursor (103 nucleotides) under Marmota monax (woodchuck). The record is from RNAcentral. Lineage: Eukaryota; Metazoa; Chordata; Mammalia; Rodentia; Sciuridae.